GUGGGCUGAGGGGUGCGCGCGUCAGUUUUGAAAGCCCUGGGGCCGCUCUAAGCGGAGGGGAGUGAAAGGGGGAGGGGAGGAGGAGUGGGAGAUGGAACAGAGAAAAAGGGAGGAUUAAUUCGCUACUCGGAUACCAGGGCCAAGGACUGAAGCGUCUUCCUGCUUAUCCCCUCCCCUCCUCCAUCAGGCGUCAUCCAAGGGAGUUGCCUUGGGACAUCCAAGGUGGGGGAGGGGGUGCGGGGACGCUGAGGGCCCGGGAGUGGGAAGCGCAAGGGUGUUUGAGGAGCAAGGAUGUGCGAGGCUCCUUACAGACCCCAGUGGGCUGCGUUCUGGAAGACACCCCAUGGCUGACCCUCUCCAGGUCCCGCCUGAGCCCCUGCAAGGGUUCUGCCAGCGCCGGCUCAACAGCGGCACCUGCUGUCCGGGGCCCUCCCUGCGGGGCGGAGCUCCCCCUCCGCCCUGGGAGCCCAGCGGGAAAUCCCAUGGACAGAGAAGCCUGGCGGGCUACAGUCCAUGGGGUCACAAGCAGCUGGACACAACUUAUGGACAACACCAUAUCUGUAAAAAGUUGAAGCAGAUUUUCAACACAAGUUAAGAAUGGGACCAGUAGGUUUCCCUGGGGGCUCGGUGGUAAAGAAUCUGCCUAAUGCAGAAGACAUGGGUUCAAUCCUUGGUCCAGGAGGAUCCCACAUGCAGAGGAGCAACUAAGCCCAUUCACCGCAAUUACUGAGCCUGUGCUCUAGAGGCCACGAACUGCAGGAAGAGAAGCCACCGCAAUGAGAAUCCUAAGCCCCACAACGAAGAGAAGCCCCUCCUUUCCUCGACUAACACAACCAAAAAUAAAGAAAUAAAAUUAUUUUUUAGAAAAGAAUGGCAUCACUAAUUAUGCGUCUGUUUUCUGUCUGCUGAUGGCUGGCUUAGAUUUUGACUCUCUGUUCUCCCUUUCUGUCCCUCCUGCUGCCAAACUUGCCCUUGAAGUUCUGUGAUCUGUUGAAAGCAUUAUUCUAUUUGAAGGUCAUCAGGGACACCCUGAUUGCCCAACUCAGUCGUCUUCAUAGUCCUUACCCUUUUGACCUCCUCCCAGGCCCUCCUUUGUGAAACCUCCCAGGCUCUGCUUUCUCAGUCUCCGCCCAUCCUCCUCAUCC
Long non-coding RNA from Bos taurus (domestic cattle), 1145 nucleotides. NCBI's taxonomy places the organism in Eukaryota, Metazoa, Chordata, Mammalia, Artiodactyla, Bovidae. The record is from Ensembl.